ACACUCCUGAGCCAGAGGAAAAGGGAGAUAAGAUAACCUAGCUGGUAUCACACAUAACCUGGAAUAUCCACAUCCACUUUCUGGUGUCAGCAGACAUUUAUAGCUGAGUCUUCUAAAUGCUGAGCGUGUGCUGUUCUACAGAAAAUAGAAAGAGAAAAUCAGCCUAGUGGGGUGAUCUGUCAGUUCCCAAAAUAACUGUUCCAGGAAGGUGCAUCAUCCUACAGGACGUGGAUUUUUCUUCAUUGCAAGUGGAGGUGUUAGAUCUGAAAGGCUUCAGUCAUAGAUCAAUUGCAAACAGAGAGCACCACGUCCUAGUCAGUUCGAGUGCAGAUAAGUAAAUUAUAGCAGACAGUAACUAAUAUUUUUUUGUCUAUGUCUGGAAAUCAGUUGUUGAACAAUAAUUAUUAUGAAUAGAUUUCUGUGCCUAUUAAGGCACUAUCAAUC
This 444-nucleotide long non-coding RNA is filed under the name Anser cygnoides (Swan goose). RNAcentral describes it as "lncRNA (ENSACDG00005004757.1)". Lineage: Eukaryota; Metazoa; Chordata; Aves; Anseriformes; Anatidae. The record is from RNAcentral.